CGAUUAUGGCUCAGAUUGAACGCUGGCAGGAUGUACCUUCUGAAGUCGACAGCCUGGAACUGAUCUACAUUGCGCGCAGUGUGGCUGCGAUUUGAUAAUAUCAUCAGACGUACCUAGUAGCGGGGGAUAACUACGCGAAAGCGUAGCUAAUACCACAUACCCUUCGAGGGGAAAGCGGGGGACAACUACAGGAACCCUCGCCACUGCCGACAAUGACAUCCAGGUUAGCUCGUUUGGUGGUCGCGGCUCCCUGGGCGGUAAAUCCAAUAGCUGGAUUGAGAGGACGACAAGCCACUGGGACUGAGACACGGCCCAGACUCCUACGGAGGCAACUUCAGGUGAAGGUACGGACAAUGGAAGCUGGUCGGCCUAUCCGCGAUGUGCGGUGAAGGCCUUCCGGUUGCUGCUUUUCCGCUGCAUGAGAAAAACGGCACGGGAUAAUACCCCGAUGCAACUGACGGCCUGCAGAAUAAGCACCAAACUAACUACGUGCCAGCAGCCGCGUCAUGCGUAAGUGCAAGCGUGUCGGUCUGGGCGUAGCGUGCGCGGGCGGUUCGGAAAGAAGAUGUGAAAUCCCAUUAACUAGAACCGUUUUAACUACCGAGCUGGGGUGUGUCAGAGGAGGUGGAAUUCCGCGUAUGCAGCAGUGAAAUGCGUAAGAUAUGCGGAGGAACACCGUGGCGAAGGCAGCCUCCUGGGAUAAUACUGGCGCUCUUGUGCAGAGCAAGCAGGAUUAAUCACCUCGUAGUCCACUAAACGAUCCAACUAGCUAUUUGGGGCCUUCGGGCCUUGUGCGGCGCAGCUAACGCGUGAAGUUGACCGCCGCAAGGGAGUACGGUCGCAAGGAUUAAAACUCAAAAGGUCGGCGAAGUCCCGCACAAGCGGUGGAUGAUGUGGAUUAAUUCGAUCCAACGCGAAAACCGCCUACCCUUGACAUGUCUGGAAUCGAGAUUUGGGAGUGCUCGCAAGAGGGACUGGAACUGGUGCUGCAUGGCUGUCGUCCAGCUCGUGUGUGAGAUCAGCAGUUAAGUCACCAACGAGCGCAGCUUCCUUAUCCAUUAGUUGCUACGAAAGGGCACUCUAAUGAGACUGCCAUUAGCAAACCGGAGGAAAGACGAGGAUGACGAUAAGUCUCAUGGCACCCAUGGGUGAAGAACUACACGUCAUGCAAUGGUCAGGAUAAGGUCCGCCAACCACGAGGGCCAAUCCGAGCCCGAUCAAUAGUCCGGAUCGCAGUCUGCAACUCGACUGCGUGAAGUCGUCGCUAAUGCUGGAUUCCGCUGUAUCGCGGUGAAUACGUUCCCGGGUCUUGUAUACACCGCCCGUCACACCAUGGAGUGGGUUUUACCGAAGUAGUUAAUGGCCUAACCAUGGGCAAUUACACGGUAAGUUCAUGACUGGGGUGAAGUCGUAUAGCAAAGGUAG
Molecule: ribosomal RNA, 1425 nt
Filed under: uncultured Bordetella sp.
Lineage: Bacteria; Pseudomonadati; Pseudomonadota; Betaproteobacteria; Burkholderiales; Alcaligenaceae
Description: partial 16S-23S ribosomal RNA intergenic spacer
Rfam family: Bacterial small subunit ribosomal RNA
Source: RNAcentral